CUUAAUUGGGCGUUAAGUUGCAGGGUAUAGACCCGAAACCCGGUGAUCUAGCCAUGGGCAGGUUGAAGGUUGGGUAACACUAACUGGAGGACCGAACCGACUAAUGUUGAAAAAUUAGCGGAUGACCUGUGGCUGGGGGUGAAAGGCCAAUCAAACCGGGAGAUAGCUGGUUCUCCCCGAAAGCUAUUUAGGUAGCGCCUCGUGAAUUCAUCUCCGGGGGUAGAGCACUGUUUCGGCUAGGGGGCCAUCCCGGCUUACCAACCCGAUGCAAACUGCGAAUACCGGAGAAUGUUAUCACGGGAGACACACGGCGGGUGCUAACGUCCGUCGUGAAGAGGGAAACAACCCAGACCGCCAGCUAAGGUCCCAAAGUCAUGGUUAAGUGGGAAACGAUGUGGGAAGGCCCAGACAGCCAGGAUGUUGGCUUAGAAGCAGCCAUCAUUUAAAGAAAGCGUAAUAGCUCACUGGUCGAGUCGGCCUGCGCGGAAGAUGUAACGGGGCUAAACCAUGCACCGAAGCUGCGGCAGCGAACGUAUCACCCAAGACAACUUUGCGGAGUUGACGAUUGACGGAGCGAAGCGACGUCAAAGCGUUCAUUAAAGUCGAGUUGGCUUAGGGAUACGUUCGUUGGGUAGGGGAGCGUUCUGUAAGCCUGUGAAGGUAUGCUGUGAGGC
RNAcentral lists this ribosomal RNA (674 nucleotides) under Salmonella enterica subsp. enterica serovar Indiana. RNAcentral describes it as "partial 23S ribosomal RNA". It matches the Rfam family "Bacterial large subunit ribosomal RNA", at positions 683 to 1269 of the family's 2925-position model. The record is from RNAcentral. Lineage: Bacteria; Pseudomonadati; Pseudomonadota; Gammaproteobacteria; Enterobacterales; Enterobacteriaceae.